UAGAGGAAUUUUGGAGGAGGAAGUUUCUGUGCAGAGAAACUGAAGAAAGGUCUGUUCCUGCAGACCACGAAUCAAACCCUCCAAACCAUGCAUCGCUUUCAUGCCCAGACUUCCUCUGAAGAUGCCUGGCGUUGCAUAACCAUGGUCUCAACCUGCUUUAUGAAGCACUUCAAGGGGAGAGAAACUGAAGUUUUAAGGGGCUGCCUGUUUCCUCUGGGAGGAGAAGUGUCUCCUGGCCUGGAGGGAAGGUCGCCCGGUGCCUCUCCCGAAGAAGAGCAACACCCCCCACUUCCAGCUAAGGCAGCUGCAACUGAGCAAACCUGCACGUUUCCUGGAACAUUUCAAGAACAACCAGAUCGUUUGAUAUUAGAUUCCAUGUAGUUCAAUGACGACCGAGGUCUCCUUGAGUUAUAAUAUCCAGCUGACGGAUGUGUUGUCUUGUCUGCUUUGUAGUGAGGUUUCUAGGCCAGAUAUCUCAAACUUUUCAGAAUAGCAGAAUAUUGUCAACUCUUUUUCACUGUAAACCUUUUCUCAAUGCUUUUUCUGUCGGAAACCAGUGAACUUUUCUGUUCUGCACCCCCUUUCCUGGCCCUCCGAGGGUGCACCUUCUGUCUUUAGAGGAAAAGUGGCACCCACCUGAGGUCCUUGGCAUAAUGAUUGCCCCCUCGAAAUGGCUCUGUGGAUUGGGCUUGGGACUGGUUAAAUGGGUGCUCUCUUUCCACUGGGCUGUUAACCCGAUGUGUGAUUUUUAGGCAAAUUUGUUUGAUCUUCUUCUGUUAUGGGCUGUCUCAUGCAUGUUGUAGCCUUUUGAAAGCUAAGAAAGACUUUCAGGUAUCUUUGAUAUUCUCCAGUUACAUUGUGAAAAAUGGCUAGGGCUCACCUUUGCUGCCCUACUGUGACAUCUGUGCUUGAUCUCAUGUGGAUUCAGGACCUAUAAAAUGAAGGUGCAGGCUCUUUGGUCACUAGGCUCCUACCUCUGAACAACUGAUCUUAAGCUAUUGUAUUUAAUGUAGUAGAGCCUGACCUUGAAUGCCACAAACCAUUAUGAAAUGAAAAGUUUCACUGGCCCAGAUUAUUUCUGUCAAAGCUAUUUUUAAUAGAAAAUAGGGGGUUUGAUAUUAAAAAAACCUGCAGAAAAUAUCUUUCUUCAGAAAAUACUGAAUUUUCCCUGAAAAACUAACCUCUAAUUGAAAGAUGAUUCGAAACUUUUUAUUCUUAAUGGGAAGUCAAAAUCUUUUCCAGAAGGGGAAAAUAUACAUUUUUUCCCAAGAGCACAAUAGUGAUAAUGCUUGCUAGUUUGAUUCAGAAAAAAAGGUUGAAAUUCACAGCAAUUUUUUUCUUUUUUCUUUUUGCUCAUCUUCAACGUUUGCUAGCACGUAAUUUUCCAUGCCAGUAACUGACUUUGCAAGUCCUCCAAUUAUUCUCUGUCCUUUUCAGAUGCAUUAAAAGCUGUUCUAUCAGUGGUCCUUUUUUUCAGUUGUCUUUUUAUCUUUCUCUGCUUAUUUCUGGACAGAUGUAUAAACACACUUUUUCCACACAUUUCAAUUAUCUUGCUUUUUGUCAAGAUAAUAUUUCCAGGUAACAUAAUUAAUUAAGGCUCCAUUAACCAUUUAAGGAAAAUAUCCCCUAGUGGCAGGCCUUUGGUACUGGCCUACUUGAGUUAAUGAUUGCAAAAGGAUGUAUAAUAUGUAGUGACUUGCUCAGAAAUAAAGGGGGAUUUUUGUCCUUUUUUGUACUCUUU
Long non-coding RNA from Struthio camelus australis, 1741 nucleotides. NCBI's taxonomy places the organism in Eukaryota, Metazoa, Chordata, Aves, Struthioniformes, Struthionidae. The record is from Ensembl.